RNAcentral lists this ribosomal RNA (545 nucleotides) under uncultured bacterium. RNAcentral's name for it is "bacterial SSU rRNA". It matches the Rfam family "Bacterial small subunit ribosomal RNA", at positions 777 to 1320 of the family's 1533-position model. The record is from RNAcentral.
AAUAGAUACCCUGGUAGUCCACCCCGUAAACGUUGGGAACUAGUUGUGGGGACCAUUCCACGGUUUCCGUGACGCAGCUAACGCAUUAAGUUCCCCGCCUGGGGAGUACGGCCGCAAGGCUAAAACUCAAAGGAAUUGACGGGGACCCGCACAAGCGGCGGAGCAUGCGGAUUAAUUCGAUGCAACGCGAAGAACCUUACCAAGGCUUGACAUAUACGAGAACGGGCCAGAAAUGGUCAACUCUUUGGACACUCGUAAACAGGUGGUGCAUGGUUGUCGUCAGCUCGUGUCGUGAGAUGUUGGGUUAAGUCCCGCAACGAGCGCAACCCUCGUUCUAUGUUGCCAGCACGUAAUGGUAGGAACUCAUGGGAUACUGCCGGGGUCAACUCGGAGGAAGGUGGGGAUGACGUCAAAUCAUCAUGCCCCUUAUGUCUUGGGCUUCACGCAUGCUACAAUGGCCGGUACAAAGGGCUGCAAUACCGUAAGGUGGAGCGAAUCCCAAAAAGCCGGUCCCAGUUCGGAUUGAGGUCUGCAACUCGACCUCA